UUAAAAUUUAUUUUUUUGUAAAUACACUGCAGUUGCUAUUUCCAUUGUGAAGUAAAGGAGCUGUUGGUAGACUGACCACAGCCCUGCUAGCACAUAGCAGCUGUGAACGUUGCCCAUAUCGCCUGAAGGGUAGACAAAAAUAAAAGUGAAACUACUACUAGCACUGAGACACUAGCCAAACCGUUGGCUUCUUUCUUCAGUGUGUCCAACGUUUUAUUUGUAGAUGGAUUUUUGUCAGCAUUUAACCUUCAUCUGUAAUAAUAUGAUGGAUAAUGGAUAAGGCCUAAUUUAAGUUUCAGAUAACAGUCUCAAAAGAAGUCCUGGUGCCCACAUCUGCAGCAGACGGAGGAAGGAGGAAGAAAGGGUGAUAGCCGUCUGUCAGGAACUAUGUCUGAACCUAAGAUGAAGACAGACGGUGGGAACUGUGCAAAGAUAAAUUCAGCAAAAAAUAUAUAGAUGAAGAGUAAAAAGAGGUCUGGGGUCAGCAUUUACACAGUUUUACAUCGAGGUUUUAAUGGUUUUUCUAGUUUGUCCAGUCUAGAGUUGACUAACCUAUUACAUAAGCUCAUAAACUCUCUAUACAUGUGUGUCUUUGUGAUAUAUUUUUAAUAUUUACAGUUUUAGUUAAUACAAAUUAAAUUUAAAAAAAUAUUUUGAAAUACAUUUUCACAUGGCCAUUCUAAACCAAAUAUUUUAUAGGACUUGAUAGUGACAGGAGAAAACAUGAACUUGUUUAACCUAAAAUAGCAUGGCAUCAACCUGACCUCAUUUAGGUAAGUUAAUUAUUAAUUUCAUAUUGAGCUAGGUAGUUAGCUACUUGGUCAAAAUAUGUUAAGGAGUAAGUACAAGUACAUCAUACAAGAAAUUAAACUACCAUGAAUAUCUGCAAUGUAUUUAUAAGAAUAAAAUAUUGGUUUAUGUUACAAGUUACAGUUUGAUCCUACAGACACACUAAAUCACAAAGGAUCUUUCCUUUAAUAAAAAUAUAUUGUGUGCUGUUAUUAUACAUAUGUUAUAAUACAACUAUAAAAUGAAGUAGUAUAGCUGAUUUUUUGUGUUAGUUGUUUUUUGAACCUCCCAUAUCUGUGAGGGAUUAAGUUAGAUUAUCUCUUUUGAUUAAUUUGUUUUAGAGUAAGAAGCCACGUUUACCUUCAACAACAACAUGUUUUGCAAUUUCAUGUGUGGAUGUUCGUGUCUAUGCAUCAAUUUAUCAAACUGGUUUGACAAUUUAUACUUUAUAGCAGGACGUUAAUGGCAGGAACCGCCCCAGGUCAUUUAUUCAGGUGUUCAACCACAACAGAGUGAUGAGAAACUAUACAGGCUAUCAGCUUCACUGGUUCACAUUAAAGGACACUUCAAAUCCCUGUGUUAAUAAAAAGCAAAAAGGAGGUUUAUGCAUACAACAUGCCUUUUAAAUGGUCAAGACAAUUGUUGUUUUAAAAUCCGUCCGGUUAAUCCCUUAUUGUUUGACAUUCAAAACAGGCUUUUCUGUACGAAUCUGUCUUAAAGGAACAAUUCCCUACAGCAUAAUCUUUUAAAGAUAUAUUUUAAAAUAAAUAAUGGAUAUAUGACUAGAGUUUAAUGUUGUGUGCAGGGAUGGAGAAAGUAAAAUGUUGUAAUACUACAGUGUAAAAAUACUACAUUUCUAAUGGAAAUUUUGUAAAUGUUAAAUAAAAACAUAAGUAAUAUCAGCAAAAAUGAAAGCACUUUUGAUUUGGGGUUUUAAGUGACCUCCUUUGUCCAUUUCUAGUUUGAUGUUCCCCAAUAAGAAGCUAUUUGCUAUCUCAGUGGAACGGUUGGCUUAAAAAACAAAUUACAAGAGUAUUUCAUUUUGGGAAAUAAAAUUUUCCAAAAAAAUAAUUUAAAUUUUAAGGAUCACUGUAAAGUUUCACUGUAAACAAACAUAUUAUAUACCUACUGUAUAUGUUGCGCACCAUUGAGUGUUGCACCAUAAUGCAUCAGUUUUUACUUGAUAGCAGUUUUCUUCUUCACUGCUUUUACUGGUGCAUUGCUUAAUUUAUUGCCACAUUACCACCAAUUAUUAAUCAGUAUGUGAAACCAUUGGCAUGGCUGUAAAGUGUGUGUGUGUGUGUGUGUGUGUGUGUGUGUGUGUGUGUGUGAAGACAAACGGUUCCUCUAAGAACUGCUCCACAAUUCAGGAAGUGAAAAACUCUUUAGGGACCCUUUAAUGGAUGUAAUACUAAACUUACAGAUGUGCAGGGGGUGCUUUGCAAGGUCUGUUAUUUACUGUCUUAUUGGGGUAAUAUUGCAUUAAUACAGUGCUUAAGUAAACGUUCUUAUCUAGUGGGUACUUGUCUAAGGAAAAUUAACAAUGCCAUUUCAUACCUAGAACACCACCACCGCAACAUUAGCAGAACUAUUAUCAGCUGUCUUUAACAUAAGCUGUUUCAGCUCAUCCUUAUCAAAAGCAAGUGCAUCUUUCCAAUGCUUGCCUUUUUUCUCUAAAAAGUUAAAAGUUAAUAUUUAUUGAAUGGGAUGAGAUGUUCAAGUUUCCGAGUCCUUUGUAAUUCAAAAUGCUUACAUAAAAACUGAAACGGUGUCUACCUUUAAACUGACAAUUCAAAAGGAAAUAUGUGGCUUUCCCUCUUAAGACUUCACUUGUCCCAUGUUAUGAGCCAUGAUAUACUGUGAAGCCUAUCUACAACAGGUUUUGAAAGUGUUUCUUUGUUUGGAAAGCAUUUUCAACUAUCAUCACCUGCUUAUUAUCGCAUUUGCAUCUUUUAAAUGGAUUAACAAGUCUAUUUAUACAGCCUACAGUCGUCAGCAAACACCUGGACAAACCUGAAAAGAUUUGCGGUGACUGAAAAGAAUGUCAUCGCUGUUCAGUGUGUUCUGCCAAGGCAGUCGCUUAUUGUGAAGGAAAAUGGCAGUUGUCCAAAAAUAUGCAGACAUCUUUAUUAGAUUAAUUAAAAUCCGGGCUUUAUUUCUCACACCCUAUGCCUUUGUGAAUGUUUUUAAUUGUAACUAAUCCUGAUAGUGAGUAAUGUCAAAAUGCAUUGCCAGCAAAUGUUGCACAAUGACACUAUUUCCUCACUAUUUGUCGGUCUUGUAGGGAACCCCAAAUAGGGGUGGAAAAGUUAUUGAUGCAACUACUUUCUAACAAUAAAAUACCACGUUACUCUAUAACAUUGUUUUUGCAGUAUGAGGCCAACACCUGUCAUUUCCUUUCCUUUAUUUAUUUAUUUAUUUAUUUAUGAGGACUACGCACAUUAAUCGUCAUUUUUGUAAAUGUGCUAGUGUUAGCCAUGUGCAGACCUUUUUCACAUUUGACCAUGUCCCACCCAUCUCUCCACCUCUUCCUAGUUUGCAUGUUAUCAUGGUUCUCUCUCCGUCUGUGUGUUUGUUUAUUUCUCCUCGGUACGUGAAUUGUGCUGUCCUCCUGUGUUUGUGAGGCCUGUUGUAUUUCCAGUACUUUCUGGUGGAGAGGAUAUGGUGCAGCUCAGAUCCUAGUGGGAUACACCUGAAGCUUCUCAUUAUUGACCAUCCUCUUCACUUCUACAUUUUGUCGUCAUCAUCAAGUGUAUAUGUUGUGAUUUUUGUUGUGAAUCUAUUCUGUACACAUGACAUGAUGUCAUGUCAUGGAAGACAUGAAACCUCCUUGAGACUAAUUGUAAUAUGUUAUGUUGGCCACUGUAAUUAAAAUUUAACGGACUUGACCUGGCGAGAUGUUUUGAAACCAAUGAAGUGAUGGUUAAAAUUUACAGACCGGAGACAACAAGAAGCCAUGCAGAGCAAAAGGAAAACGAUAAACAUUAGUACAAUAAUACAAUAACAAUAUCCACUAUUCGGUAAAUGUAGCCAUACCAGCAGUACACAGAGACACAUAGAAAAAGUAUUGUACCUUUCUCUUGAGUCCAGCUUGUCAUACAGUAUGUUAAGUGGAGGAUGAUCACUGUAUUCAUUUAUAGUAAGUAGUUUGUAGUUGUUAGGCCAUAUCUUAUAACCCUAACAUUAGCCAGGUUGUAUUUUGUUUAUUUUUAUUACUUUCUUCACUUGUUUAUUGUAGUAUAAGGUGAGGUCGAGGAUAAUAUUGAGAUUUGAGGUUAGAGACAAUUUGGAUGACCUGUCCAGACACAUAGACCUUCAGGCUCACAGUCAGAUGCAGAGUGUUUUUUUGCACACUUUUACACACAUUGAACCCUCCCUGCAAGAUGGGAUCCAAUCCAAUCCAGCAUGUUAGAGAAUAAAUUAGAAGUGGCUAGUUUAGAGAUGUCUGACAGUAUCAAGCAGCUUCUUUAAAUCUAAAUUUAUGAACCCAGCAAAAUCUCCAUUUUCCAUUUUUAGUUUAAAGAGAAGCAAUUUGCUGUCUCAGAGGAAUUGUUGGCUUGAAAAACAAAUUGCAUUGGAUGCAGUGUGUAAGGGUUUGUACUACUGAGAUGAGUGGUCAGAUGUUCAGCAACAUAUUUCUCUGUUAUUUUGUAAGAUGAAACUGACAUCAGUCAAAUCACUUGAACGAACUGGCACAACUAUGGCUGACUUCCAGUCCUUCAGGAUCUUCCCUUCUUUAAUUGAGGCAUUUAUUAUCUUUAUAAAUUAAUCUGUAUACCUUGUUUAAGGAGAGUCCAAUCCAGUUUUGAUUUAGAGUUUUUAAGAGAGUUUGGAAUUAUAUUUACUUAAGAUUCAGCGACCUCCAUCAGACAGGCUGAAAGAUACAGUAUCUAGGGGUGGUGGAUCUAGAUGUCCAGUUUAAUUGAUGUGUACUGCUCUCUCAACAGAGUUCACAGAGUGGGAGUUGAGGAGAGUUGUGGUUUGUACAGCUACUUUAAUCAGGCAGCCAUUGUCUUUAACAUCAUGGUGCUUUGUUGUAUUGUUGCGUUUUCCUGUUAGAGUUUUGAAAUUGUCAAACAUUUAAAGGACCAAAUAUGGGUGACACCAUAUUUGGUCCAUAAACUGGAGAAGUGCAACUAAGGCGUUGUACAAACUUUGUACAAAAGAGGCCUUUACCCAAAAUGUGCUCAAAAUUGUCAUAAAAACCUCUUUACAUCUUUAGCCUUUUUCUUCCCUUCUCCAUGCACUUUGGAAGUAGCUGAAGUUGUGCCAGAAACACCUACUCAGACUUUUAAAUCCCAAAUUUGCUUGUGAUUUCCCUAAGCUUCAUCUAUCAGACUAACAAAGAACUUUGCUUUGCCUAUGAGGAUGUCCUUGGUUACUUAUUUCUUAGAGAAGUGAAAAUGUGUCUGUCGGUCAAUAACUGUCUUAAGAAAUGUUUGCAGGGCAGGGUCUCUUUCUUUCAGAAGUCUUCAUUUGUGGCCAUUCAUUUUACCUGACUUGUCUUUCCAGUUCAUAUUAUAUUUACUUGCUUCACUGAGCUGCAUUCCCUAACCAUUGUAUAUACUCUCUCAAAUAGGAUGAUCUGCACACUCCAAUGAAGGUAAAAGACAUUUGCUGUGACUGUGUGUGACUUUUAGAGAAAAAGAUUAAAACAGAGCAUUGCAUCUCUUUACACGAUAUGUGAUCUUUACCAAUAAACUAUCCCACCUCUA
This is a long non-coding RNA of Micropterus salmoides (largemouth bass), 5504 nucleotides long. RefSeq lists it as uncharacterized. The record is from RefSeq and is a predicted model, not a curated record. The transcript is spliced from 2 exons. NCBI's taxonomy places the organism in Eukaryota, Metazoa, Chordata, Actinopteri, Centrarchiformes, Centrarchidae.